This 371-nucleotide ribosomal RNA is filed under the name uncultured bacterium. RNAcentral's name for it is "bacterial SSU rRNA". It matches the Rfam family "Bacterial small subunit ribosomal RNA", at positions 527 to 896 of the family's 1533-position model. The record is from RNAcentral.
GAGGGGUGCAAGCGUUGCUCGGAAUCAUUGGGCGUAAAGCGAGCGCGGAUGGUCUUGUAAGUCAGGAGUGAAAGCCCUGGGCUCAACCCAGGAAGUGCUUUUGAUACUGCGAGACUUGAAUGUGGGAGAGGGUGCUAGAAUACCUAGUGUAGUGGUGAAAUACGUAGAUAUUAGGUGGAACACCGGUGGGGAAGCCGGGUGCCUGGCCCAACAUUGACAUUUAGGCUSGAAAGCGUGGGGAUCAAACAGGAUUAGAUACCCUGGUAGUCCACGCCUUAAACUAUGAAUACUUGGUGUUGGAGGUAUUGACCCCUUCAGUGCCGAAGCUAACGCGUUAAGUAUUCCGCCUGGGAAGUACGGUCGCAAGAUUA